Non-coding RNA from Aegilops tauschii subsp. strangulata, 3365 nucleotides. The record is from RefSeq and is a predicted model, not a curated record. NCBI's taxonomy places the organism in Eukaryota, Viridiplantae, Streptophyta, Magnoliopsida, Poales, Poaceae.
ACAAAUUUCAUCCAGGAAAUUUAGUCCUAGGGACUUUGAUAUACAAUGAUACACCAAAGCAAGCAAAGAAGCCAAAAGAAGUUAAAUGUUUUUACCUGCUGCUGGCAUCCGAUGAGCAGUUGCAGGUGUCAACCAUAGUAUUGUUAUAUGAAGUGAGAGUUGCAUGUGCUUAUCUGAAGCUUAUACUAAUAAUGUGCCUCCCUAAUUGUGGCUGAUCUGGAGCUCAUACCCAUGUUGGGAAUUUGCAGCAGGUCUGAUCCCUUGCGCGUGCUCCUCCGCUUGCCCUCUCGACCCUCCCCUUGCUCAUCGCCAUCCAUUUUAUUCAGAGUGUAGAUGGCGGGCAAAACACCUAAGCUCCAGGAAUGAGCUUAAAAAACACAUGAGCUACUGUGACUAGGUGGCCACUUGAUUAGAGCAAGGAUGAAAAGCACUCCAUACACACUCACAAGGAUGAUGAUCCAUCUGUUUCUAGGAUGGUGGGACUUGAGGUCAAACUGCACAGGUAUGCACCAGAUUCAAGGAUCAGCUACUUGAUGAAAUAUACAGGAGACUCUCCUACUCAACAUUACCUUAAAAAAGAAUCAAGGAUCAGUUCAAUGGGAAUUGGAAUGAUGAAAACACUUGUUUGAGCACAUCUGAUCCUCAUAAUAGCAUAUUUUUAAUAAAUCACUGUAGUCAAAUCACUUUUUUUUAUAAUUUCUAUAGUAAAAUCACUUACUAUUGUGUAUAAGUGCCAUUAAGGAUAAUCCUAGAUCUGCGGGAUAGUUUGGAAGUUAUACCCAAGGCAUUAUAAUUGCUCUAUAUUAUUAUUAAUUUCGUAUAUCAUCACCUUAGACUACUCGAACUGUCGGCCAUGCUUUGUGAUUAAACAAUUCUUGACUGAUUAAAUCCAUUUCAAGUGUAAUGCAAGUGUUGAAUUGUGAUCCAUGAACAGCAAGCCCAUUUGGGGAAUGUAUUUGAACAAUGACCCAAGCAGUCGCACAAGUGGAUCUGCACAUAUUAUUAUCAAGAAGCUUGACAAGAAAACUGAAAACAAAUAAUUAGAGAAGAUUAACCGGGCGGGAGGAGAGGGAAGAAGGGAUAAAGAGAAAAGAAAUACAUAGUAAAGUUAUAUUGAUUAAAGAGUUCUAGCAAUGCAUCUGCUUCUAACUAUAUAUAAAGAUCUUGCAUGUGAUUAACCGGGCGGGAGGAGAUGGAAGAAGGGCUUGGCCACUUGGAUCGUGAGAUGACUAUUCGGUUGACCAUUUGUGCUAUCUAUUCAAUGUCAUGCAUCAUAGAAACAAAGAUUAGUUUUGUUGUUGUGGAUUUUGCAGGAAAACAGAGUAGGUCACGGUGGAUGAAGAGAACAUUAACCGACAGACUUUUCGGUAAAAAAAUUGGCUGCCUUGAUUAGUUUAUUUCUUAUCAAUUAAAUUUGUAUGUGAAGUACAAAAAGUUGAUAAUUGGGACAGAAUUAUGACUUUUACUAUGUACCAUUUUCAUAUAUUCCUCAACAACACGUCUAGAUUCAUGUAGAUAAUAAUUUGAACACGUCUAGCAAUUUACAUGUCUUCUGGGCAAGCUAAGCUAUUUUCUUGAUGAUCCAAGCAGGUUGCUGAUCAAAUAUAAAAUAUGUAAUUUUCUGGUUCAGUAAUAAACGGGCAAUUCAACUUAUGGCUGGGGCAGCCUGAUUUCCUCCUACACACGCCCGCUAGCAGCAGCAGUUACGACCAGGCGGUUGCGGAAGGUGAUAGGUGUGGUGGUCGGCGGUGCCUGGGCUAUUGAUGUUCGAUUUGAGAGGAAGAAGAGAGAUUGGCUGCUGAUUUUGGGAGGAAGAAGAGAGAUUGAGCGUGCUGUUGCUGCCGUGUGUGGUCUUGGGAGAGGAAUAAAAGAGAGUAGUAGAGAGCUUUAGAGAGAUAGCAAAGGAUUGAGAGGCUACUCCUAUUUGUAUUGCUGUCGAUGCUUGCACAAUGCCACUGCUUAUUAUACUGUGUUAUUCAUCUUUGAAAAAAACAAUCAUUUUCUCCCUUCAAUAGUUUAGUCAUGACUUAGGUUUACUUACUAGCCUCUCUUCAUAAUUAUUUUUGGAUUAAAUUUAGCUUUUUAAAAAGUUGCAAAGAAUAGGACUAUUUCAUGCAUCCCGGCAGAUAUGGUUGCUAUCCACCUGGAAAGGAAUAAGAUAGCAUCCAUGUUGUCGUCCCUUGUUGUUAGUUUGCAUUCCUAUUUACUUUGUGUGCCAUUCCUUAAUGCAUGAAUCAGUUGCAGUGUGGAUGGGAUUGACUUGUUAUUUUGUUCAGUUUGUAAAAGGGUUGCUCUGUGCAAAUUCUUAACACAGUCAUCAUAAUUGCAUUUAUAGCAACUACCUAUUAUUGAAAUGAUAGAUGGCUCCAAGAUUAUGGUUGUACUAUGCUAAAUUGCUAAUUGCUAUUACUAGGAAUAAAUACUCAUGUAUCUCUAAAAAGACUACUAAUGUACUCCCUCCGUAAACAAAAUGAAAUUUAUUUAUGAACCGAUUGUAAUAUUACCUCGGGUGAAGAAUAACUUAUACUCCACCUUGGGUGAUGAAUAGUAUUACCAUGUAUAUAUAGUGUGUGUUGUGUGUUGUGUGUGUGUGCUUCAGACAUGUCGUUUAAUUAUCUAUUUGGUUUAUUCACUAAUAUCUGAUUGAAUCAGGCAUGUGCGCGCGAGGAGGGAAGAGGAGAGAACCAUUGACAUUUUUCAUGCCCUGGACGAACAUUUUUAUGCAUAGCUUUCUUUUCCAUGAGAACACAUGAGUGUGGAGCUGUCGUUGUAGAGCCUGGGAUGAAGGGUGGGUCCAUUAUAGAACCAGGAGGUACUAGCACUAAGAUGGGAAGGUGGUUGCCGCCCUUAUCCCUUGCUGCUGGCCGGCCACGGCGAUGUUGAUCACCGGCUCACUUAACAUACAAGUUGAUGGAUUUUGUGAUAAGAGUGAGCGGGACGGAGGUUGGGUUUGGUAUGUUUACUUACAAAUUUGCAUUCUUGGCUUUGGGGGCGCCACAGGCGGCGCAAUACCUCCUCCCUCUUGAUGGCAGUGGUGAAAACACACGGACACGGGGGAGGGGAUCAUGGCGGAGAGCGGGGCAGGCAUUACAGGGGACUCCUCCUUAACGGUCUAUGAGGAAGUAUGGUGUGAAGGAGAGAGGGUGUCAUGGUGAAAGUGAGGCGGACGUCACCCACUACGGCGGGAAACAGAACGGAAAGGGGAGGGUCCGACGAGAAAAGGAGAGGGUGUGUCGUGGUGGUGGGGUUUUGCGUUGGUGUCACAUGUUGGAGAUAACAUCACCAAUAGUCUGGAUAGCAACAUUUCUUUCUUACGUAUGGGCCGGAUUUGGGGCACCCGGACUAUCAAGACGGUUAUAGUAGCC